This 499-nucleotide ribosomal RNA is filed under the name uncultured bacterium. RNAcentral's name for it is "partial 16S ribosomal RNA". It matches the Rfam family "Bacterial small subunit ribosomal RNA", at positions 28 to 507 of the family's 1533-position model. The record is from RNAcentral.
GACGAACGCUGGCGGCGUGCCUAAUACAUGCAAGUCGAGCGGACUUUCAAGAAGCUUGCUUUUUGAAAGUUAGCGGCGGACGGGUGAGUAACACGUGGGCAACCUGCCUGCAAGACGGGGAUAACUCCGGGAAACCGGGGCUAAUACCGGAUAAUAUCUUCCUUCGCAUGAAGGAAGGUUGAAAGGCGGCGCAAGCUGCCGCUUGCAGAUGGGCCCGCGGCGGAUUAGCUAGUUGGUGAGGUAACGGCUCACCAAGGCGACGAUGCGUAGCCGACCUGAGGGGGUGAUCGGCCACACUGGGACUGGGACACGGCCCAGACUCCUACGGGAGGCAGCCGUAGGGAAUCUUCCGCAAUGGACGAAAGUCUGACGGGGCAACGCCGCGUGAGCGAAGAAGGUCUUCGGAUCGUAAAGCUCUGUUGUCAGGGAAGAACAAGUACCGUUCGAACAGGGCGGUACCUUGACGGUACCUGACCAGAAAGCCACGGCUAACUACGUG